RNAcentral lists this transfer RNA (72 nucleotides) under Ovis aries (sheep). It matches the Rfam family "tRNA". From Rfam's summary of the family: Transfer RNA (tRNA) molecules are approximately 80 nucleotides in length. Lineage: Eukaryota; Metazoa; Chordata; Mammalia; Artiodactyla; Bovidae. The record is from Rfam by way of RNAcentral.
UCCCUUGUAGCUUAGCUGGUAAAGAAUCCACCUGCAAUGCGGGAGACCUGGGUUCGAUUCCUGGUUUGGGAA